Long non-coding RNA from Cyprinus carpio carpio, 792 nucleotides. NCBI's taxonomy places the organism in Eukaryota, Metazoa, Chordata, Actinopteri, Cypriniformes, Cyprinidae. The record is from Ensembl.
GGGACUUACAAAAACAGUAACUCGUCAGAAAGCCAACAAUAUAUGUAAUAAACAAUGGCAGGUUUAUAAGACAUCUAGAUUGCUAAACCACAACUUAUCAUUUUAAAAAACAUAUUAUGAAACUCUGUCCUCAAAUGACUGAUCUGAUCACAUCUGCACCGAGGACAGCAUACUGAUUAAAGAUAUCACCGGGAUCAGAGUACACCAGGUGCCCUUGGCAAGACAGAUAAGCUGCAGUAAUAUGAUUACACGUCCUGCAUUGUGCAACCCGUGACUCAACCUCUAAUUACAGCUGUGCUGCACUGUUUGCAGGUAAACUGCGGCUCAGGACGCUCUGAAUGGAGUCCAGGAAGCCCGUAAUUUUACAUGUGUCCUUUGCACCACGCUUGUGACUCGGGUGGAAAUGGGUGUCAAAGGUGAGCGCAAAUCUGACAAAUACAGAAAUACAGACAGCAGGUCAAGGACGGCAGGUAGUUCAAGAAGUGAUUAUCUCAGUGGAAAAAUGGUCCAGAUGUCUCCUGCAUCCCUGCAGAUUCAUGUUCUCUUUUUUUUUAAGUAUCACAGCAGGAGUGGUCCGGAAUGACCUAGAUCUGUAAAGGAGCGACGGCGGGACGUGCUGAGACGCUUACAGACAGAAAUACUGCUUAUUUUAGUGUUCCACAUGCAAUUUUACGUAAAAAGUUUUUAUUAGACUCACUGUAAUUCAUUGUUGGUCAUAUUUAGUAUUCAACCAAUAAAGGGCAUGAUAUCAGCUGCUGUAAUGUCUAUAUACUGUAUGUAAUACAACAAAAU